RNAcentral lists this ribosomal RNA (371 nucleotides) under uncultured bacterium. RNAcentral describes it as "bacterial SSU rRNA". It matches the Rfam family "Bacterial small subunit ribosomal RNA", at positions 527 to 896 of the family's 1533-position model. The record is from RNAcentral.
AGGGGGGGCAAGCGUUGUUCGGAAUUACUGGGCGUAAAGGGUUUGUAGGUGGCUUGCUAAGUCAGACGUGAAAUCCCUCAGCUUAACUGGGGAACUGCGUCUGAUACUGGUGAGCUUGAGUGCAGGAGAGGAACGCGGAAUUCCAGGUGUAGCGGUGAAAUGCGUAGAUAUCUGGAGGAACACCGGUGGCGAAGGCGGCGUUCUGGACUGCAACUGACACUGAGAAACGAAAGCCAGGGGAGCAAACGGGAUUAGAUACCCCGGUAGUCCUGGCCCUAAACGAUGAAUGCUUGGUGUGGCGGGUAUCGAUCCCUGCCGUGCCGCAGUUAACGCGAUAAGCAUUCCGCCUGGGGAGUACGGUCGCAAGGCUG